This 440-nucleotide ribosomal RNA is filed under the name uncultured bacterium. Its description in RNAcentral is "partial 16S ribosomal RNA". It matches the Rfam family "Bacterial small subunit ribosomal RNA", at positions 338 to 795 of the family's 1533-position model. The record is from RNAcentral.
CCUACGGGUGGCUGCAGUGGGGGAUAUUGCACAAUGGGGGAAACCCUGAUGCCGCGACGCCGCGUGUGGGAAGACGGUCUUCUGGAUUGUAAACCACUGUCCCCAGGGACGAAAAUGACGGUACCUGGGGAGGAAGCUCCGGCUAACUACGUGCAAGCAGCCGCGGUAAUACGUAGGGAGCAAGCGUUGUCCGGAAUUACUGGGUGUAAAGGGAGCGUAGGCGGGGAUGCAAGUUGGGUGUCAAAACUACCGGCUCAACCGAUAGUCGCACUCAAAACUGCAACUCUUGAGUGAAGUAGAGGCAGGCGGAAUUCCUAGUGUAGCGGUGAAAUGCGUAGAUAUUAGGAGGAACACCAGUGGCGAAGGCGGCCUGCUGGGCUUUUACUGACGCUGAGGCUCGAAAGUGUGGGGAGCAAACAGGAUUAGAUACCCCUGUAGUC